Molecule: long non-coding RNA, 775 nt
Filed under: Prunus dulcis (almond)
Lineage: Eukaryota; Viridiplantae; Streptophyta; Magnoliopsida; Rosales; Rosaceae
Description: sRNA ncRNA
Source: RNAcentral
UUCUUUUUUUUUUCUUUUUUUUUUUGUUGAGAAAUUCUAUGGUUGCAUUCAUAAUUCAGCCAAAAAAGUCACUAGCCACAAAGGACUAAUACAAACUAGCCAUAAAAGGGCAAUUACAAUAACGGAGCGGUCUAAUAUUAAAAUUAAGAAAAUCAGGUAUGGCUCCACUAACGAUCAGGCAAGAUCGAAGAAACUCUGGCAUAGGCAUCCCAACUAAGAUUGCAAACUUAGAAUAAUAAAAAAAAGAUAAAGUUUGAAAAAAUCAAGUCAUAACAAUACAAAUAAAACUCUCACAAAGGAGAGAUGAAAAACUCUCACAAAAGGAGAGGUGAAAACUACACAGAGAACCCAAAGAAUCUCUGCAACUUAUUCCAAACAUAAAGAAAUUGCAAAAAGAUGGUGUUGAAGAUCCGACGCCGAAAUGCAGGUGAAGAUCCGACGUUGAGCCGCAGCCGCCUAUAAUGGUUGGAUGAAAAUUAUAACAAAACUAAGACAAAUAUGGAAAACCCUUUAUCUCUGAAAAUGGGGGAAGAGGUGAAAGGAGGAAGAGAGGAAGAGAAGAGGGGAGAGGGGAGAGGGGAGAGGGGGGAAGAACAAUGGCUUCCUCCCCCCUCAAAGUGAAAAAGACUUUAAAAGUGUUUUUUAGGAGAAAAGAAGCUAGGAUUUCCCAAAAAAUUUCAAACUAUUCAAAUGCAUUACAUUUUAUUAAUAAUAUAUUAAAAUCUAGACAACGAUUUAUAUUAUUAUUAUUAUUAUUUUUUCCUUUACCAGAAAG